AAAUGUUCAGGCUUAGCCAGGCUAAAAAUGCCAUCAUUUUUGGCUGAAAUAGUGAAUGUGGCUUAAAAAGUGUAUGUAAAUUAAAUGCCAGAAAUGUCUGAUAAUUCACAGGAAAAUUAAGGCACUUAUAAUGACAGAGCUGUUUUAUCAGUGUGAUGAUGAGAAUUGAACCCAAGCCCAGGCAUCAAAGCAAUUCAGCAGGCUCACGUCUUCAUUUGUACUUGUUGUUCCAGUUUUCCUAAUCACAGUCACUAAGGGACUCCUCCAUGGGACACAUCAUUGUCACUUUUACAGUAAAUCCAGACAUUCUUUAGCAGUUUCUCUGUAGUUGUAAGAAAUUCUCUUGUGUGCUGAAGAGAGAUGCCCCAGUCUGAGGAUGCUCAGCCAUGCUUCUAUCCAGGAGGUACUACUGAAAGAAAGAAGUGGCUCUUUGAACAGCAAGAUGGAGAAUCUUAUGCAUUUUAUGGAAAUAGCACAGCUAUGACUUGCCAUCAGUUCAGCCAGCAGUCAAGCAAAGAAUGGAGCUCAGUUUUGCAAAGUCUGUCCAGGAAUAUAUCUACUAGAUUGCUUUACCCCUGA
RNAcentral lists this long non-coding RNA (579 nucleotides) under Anser brachyrhynchus (Pink-footed goose). RNAcentral describes it as "lncRNA (ENSABRG00000010606.1)". The record is from RNAcentral. Lineage: Eukaryota; Metazoa; Chordata; Aves; Anseriformes; Anatidae.